CUUGGUUAGGGAGCGAUCGGGAUGGAGCAGAGGGCAGAGGUCAGCGUCGGCGGCGGCGUGGGGUUAGGUUGGGGCGGCGGCCGCUAGAGGAGCGGGGGGAUGCGGCGGCGGGGGUUGGAAGAUAAGGAGAGGGUUGCCUUAGGGUUCCCUUCCCUUCCGUUCCCUUCACUUCCCUUCCCUCUCUCUCGCGGAUCUAGGUGCCGCCGUAGUCGCGCGGCAGCAACUGGAUUAGACGCAGGCAGGAGCUCCCUCCAGCCGGUACCUCCAGGCUGGGCCGGGCCGUCGUCGGUACCUGCCUGCCUCUGCGGGGUUUGGGAUGGGAGUUGGAAGUUGGCCUAGAAGGUGGUGUGGUGUAGCCGGAGGGACUGAAGUGCGUCCUCGAGGUGACGAAGGUCUUGCAGUGGACGAAGGUCAACAGUAGAAAGGCUUCUGUUUCAUACCCAACUCAUUCGACAAACCACAACCUUAGUCGCUCCAACCAGUACAACCACCAUAAGAGAAUACACGUGCGGAGACUUGUGGGUAGUUCCCCCUUAC
RNAcentral lists this ribosomal RNA (537 nucleotides) under Triticum aestivum (bread wheat). Its description in RNAcentral is "partial small subunit ribosomal RNA". Lineage: Eukaryota; Viridiplantae; Streptophyta; Magnoliopsida; Poales; Poaceae. The record is from RNAcentral.